GGGGGUGCGUUGAACACCCUGGUGUGUGCGCAAGCGCUGUGCAUUUUUAUUAUCAUGGGUUUACAGACACGUCUCUGCUGAUUGGGUAUCACCUGUGACACAGCCAAUAAACGAGAGAAGACAC
Sander lucioperca (pikeperch) is the source of this 124-nucleotide long non-coding RNA. RefSeq lists it as uncharacterized. The transcript is spliced from 3 exons. Lineage: Eukaryota; Metazoa; Chordata; Actinopteri; Perciformes; Percidae. The record is from RefSeq and is a predicted model, not a curated record.